Molecule: long non-coding RNA, 304 nt
Filed under: Setaria viridis
Lineage: Eukaryota; Viridiplantae; Streptophyta; Magnoliopsida; Poales; Poaceae
Description: long non-coding RNA (SVIR_LNC006415)
Source: RNAcentral
GGUUCGAGACUAGUGGUGGAUAGUGCUCAGCCUGUAGGCGGAUUGGAGGAUCAGUGUAAGGAGUUCGAGGUGUUGACCUGCUCUGACAAGACUGCACCCCAACAUGGGUAGGUUUCACAGCUUCAAGGUCCUCAACUGGUGACAGCAUGCCCUGCAGUUGAGGACAGUUCUUGACUCGAAGAAACAGGAGAGUACUAUCCACUUACUAGGGCUCUGACUGUUAGGUAGGGUUUGGACGGAUCGCUACCGUUCAGGCUCCAUCCGUGCGGGUACAGUUGUACAACCUCUACAGGGUGUAUAAACC